GAUGAACGCUGGCGGCGUGCCUAAUACAUGCAAGUCGAGCGAACAGACGAGGAGCUUGCUCCUUCGACGUUAGCGGCGGACGGGUGAGUAACACGUAGGUAACCUACCUAUAAGACUGGGAUAACUUCGGGAAACCGGAGCUAAUACCGGAUAAUAUUUUGAACCGCAUGGUUCGAUAGUGAAAGAUGGCUUUGCUAUCACUUAUAGAUGGACCCGCGCCGCAUUAGCUAGUUGGUAAGGUAACGACUUACCAAGGCAACGAUACGUAGCCGACCUGAGAGGGUGAUCGGCCACACUGGAACUGAGACACGGUCCAGACUCCUACGGGAGGCAGCAGUAGGGAAUCUUCCGCAAUGGGCGAAAGCCUGACGGAGCAACGCCGCGUGAGUGAUGAAGGUCUUCGGAUCGUAAAACUCUGUUAUUAGGGAAGAACAAACGUGUAAGUAACUGUGCACGUCUUGACGGUACCUAAUCAGAAAGCCACGGCUAACUACGUG
Molecule: ribosomal RNA, 497 nt
Filed under: uncultured bacterium
Lineage: Bacteria
Description: partial 16S ribosomal RNA
Rfam family: Bacterial small subunit ribosomal RNA
Source: RNAcentral